CCCUGGGUUAGUCGGGACCUAAGCUGAGGCCGAAAGGCGUAGGUGAUGGACAACAGGUUGAUAUUCCUGUACUACCGAUAACCGUUUGAGAGAAGGGAUGACACAGUAGGAUAAGCUAAGCACACUGUUGGUUAUGUGUGCCCAAGCAUUGAGGCAGUCAAAGUAGGCAAAUCCGCUUUGAUAAUGCUGGGAUGUGAUGGGGAGCGAAAUUUAGUAGCGAA
RNAcentral lists this ribosomal RNA (221 nucleotides) under Clostridioides difficile. RNAcentral's name for it is "partial 23S ribosomal RNA". It matches the Rfam family "Bacterial large subunit ribosomal RNA", at positions 1373 to 1589 of the family's 2925-position model. Lineage: Bacteria; Bacillati; Bacillota; Clostridia; Peptostreptococcales; Peptostreptococcaceae. The record is from RNAcentral.